AACUAGGCUGUGACCAGUUAAUGUGACUCAGGAAAGGCUGUAAGGUGGAUGGAGGCUUUACCACUUCGCCUCACUGCAGAGGUUACUGUUUUUCCAGACCUCACACAUGAGGAGCCUAAUCAAAGCAGGUUUAGCAAUUAGGCUGUGAGGUCACCUGAUUAACUGAGGGGCAUCAGCUGGGUUUGGGGCUGAUUGACUUUAGCAGAGCUGCAGCUAACAACCCAAAACAUUUCUUUCCCAGUGUUUGCUGCUGGGCUGGAUUUCUCUUGGACUUACCUGCACCAGCAUUUCAGCAAAGCUAUGAGUGGCAGCUCUUACUGCCUGGGAACAGACUCAUGCGACCCAGUCAGGAGGAUGACAGCUCUACACCACUGGACCUGUAAUAAGUUCUGACUGCUGGAAUAUUUGCUUCCCUGCGGAAAU
This 423-nucleotide long non-coding RNA is filed under the name Phasianus colchicus (ring-necked pheasant). Its description in RNAcentral is "lncRNA (ENSPCLG00000000255.1)". The record is from RNAcentral. Lineage: Eukaryota; Metazoa; Chordata; Aves; Galliformes; Phasianidae.